CACGUAGGGUGCGAGCGUUGUCCGGAAUUAUUGGGCGUAAAGAGCUCGUAGGCGGUGUGUCGCGUCGGCCGUGAAAACCUGCAGCUUAACUGUGGGCGUGCGGUCGAUACGGGCAUCACUGGAGUUCGGCAGGGGAGACUGGAAUUCCUGGUGUAGCGGUGAAAUGCGUAGAGAUCAGGAGGAACACCCGUGGCGAAGGCGGCCCUCUGGCUCGACCCUGACGCUGAGGCGCGAAAGCGUGGGGAGCGAACGGG
RNAcentral lists this ribosomal RNA (254 nucleotides) under uncultured bacterium. RNAcentral describes it as "partial 16S ribosomal RNA". It matches the Rfam family "Bacterial small subunit ribosomal RNA", at positions 524 to 776 of the family's 1533-position model. The record is from RNAcentral.